GCAAAACUCAGAUUCUCCUCCGAAUACUCAUGACCUGGGCCAUAAAGGGGAGAAACAAGAAGGGUGUUACCUGAUAAGAAAAAGGUGCCAACCCUCCACCCCCUUCAGAACUCCAUGAUUGGGCAACUGCAGGAUUAAGGACCUUGAUUUUCUUCACUCGAUGUUGGGGGAAACCAACUGAAUUUUGAUGCUACACAACAUGUUGGACAUGUAGCCCUUUCCCAUGAACUGGACAAGAGUAUUCUUUGGCUUGCCUAAUGGACCCUUGGGAAAUUUGCCCAUUUACUUUGGUUUUCUGGUUCUGUGCCUCCCAAUACAGGGGCCUCUACUCCACCACCACAGGCUUCGAUAGGAAUGUUCCUCCCUUCACCAGUGCCCCGUCCCUCACCUCAGGGUGGGACUUACCACAGCCAGAAAGAAAGAGAAGGUCCCCUGAAAAAAGGCAAGAAGGGCCUUUGUAGGGUUCUCCAUCCAGCACAUAGACCAUGUGGCCCCGAGUGUGACCAGGGGUGGCCAGAGCCUGGAACUGAAGCCUCCCCACACUCACCAUAUCCUGAUGGCAGAGGGGACUGGGGAAGGGAGAAGAGAAAAGAAAAGACCUUAAUUUGCAUAUACUUUAAUCUUCUUCACUCUCACUGAUGCUUGGCAAAGGGGCAAAAGAAGACCCUGGAGAGGGGUUCCUCAAUUCAA
This is a non-coding RNA of Monodelphis domestica (gray short-tailed opossum), 690 nucleotides long. NCBI's taxonomy places the organism in Eukaryota, Metazoa, Chordata, Mammalia, Didelphimorphia, Didelphidae. The record is from RefSeq and is a predicted model, not a curated record.